Molecule: unclassified non-coding RNA, 247 nt
Filed under: Vibrio tapetis
Lineage: Bacteria; Pseudomonadati; Pseudomonadota; Gammaproteobacteria; Vibrionales; Vibrionaceae
Description: partial miscellaneous RNA
Source: RNAcentral
UCAAAUUUAAAAGUUCUCAAAUCNUAUGACUCUNAUGAGUGAUAGGUACCAACACACAUUCAAGUGUUCUUGGGUUUUCACGUAAGUGAAAACAUAUUUGAGUCCGGCGAAAAUCGAACGUCUCUCACUCAUAAAAUAGAGAGACAACCUUGGUUGUUUGCCAUACAUAAAGACCUCUUGGGGUUGUAUGGUUAAGUGACUCACCGAACAUAAAGACCUCUUGGGGUUGUAUGGUUAAGUGACUCAC